This 104-nucleotide small nuclear RNA is filed under the name Carlito syrichta (Philippine tarsier). The record is from RNAcentral. Lineage: Eukaryota; Metazoa; Chordata; Mammalia; Primates; Tarsiidae.
AUGCUUGUCUCAGCAGCACAUAUACUAAAACUGGAAUGAUACAGAGAUUAGCAUGGCCCUUGUGCAAAGAUGACAUGCAAAUUCGUGAAGCAGUCCAUACAAAA